RNAcentral lists this ribosomal RNA (253 nucleotides) under uncultured bacterium. Its description in RNAcentral is "partial 16S ribosomal RNA". It matches the Rfam family "Bacterial small subunit ribosomal RNA", at positions 524 to 776 of the family's 1533-position model. The record is from RNAcentral.
UACGGAGGGUGCGAGUGUUGUCCGGAAUCAUUGGGCGUAAAGGGCGCGUAGGUGGCCCGGUCAGCGUGCGGUGAAAGCUCGGGGCUCAACCCCGAGUCGGCCGUGCGAACUGCUGGGCUUGAGCACUGUAGAGGCAGGCGGAAUUCCGGGUGUAGCGGUGGAAUGCGUAGAGAUCCGGAAGAACACCGGUGGCGAAGGCGGCCUGCUGGGCAGUGGCUGACACUGAGGCGCGACAGCGUGGGGAGCAAACAGG